Molecule: ribosomal RNA, 783 nt
Filed under: Triticum aestivum (bread wheat)
Lineage: Eukaryota; Viridiplantae; Streptophyta; Magnoliopsida; Poales; Poaceae
Description: partial small subunit ribosomal RNA
Source: RNAcentral
AUGAAGAUCCUCGACUCGCCCCUCAUGGGCGAGUUCAUCGGCUACCUCAAGUCCAACUGGGGCGGCAACUCGCGGGUGAGCCAGCGCCGGCGCCGGCUGCGGCAGCUGGUGGCGAUGGUGCGCGGGGUGGCGGACGCCGCCGAGGCCCGGGCCGCGGUGCGGGGCAGCUCCCUCCACCGCUGGCUGCAGCUGCUGCGGAAGGAGGCGCUGCGCGGGCAGCAGGUGCUCGACGCCACUACCGACCCCUCCGCCGUCGUCGGCUCCGCCAAGAAGUUCCUCGCGGGACUCAGGUCCCUCUUCGUCUGCAGCGCCGAGGUCGACCGCCUCACCGACGCCGUCGACGCGCUCGAGCGCCUCGCCGGCCCCGGCGCCGACCUCGACAUCUUCCUGAAGGUGCUCCAGCUCGACGUCGCCAUGGACGUCGACGAAUACGCCGUUCCGGCCCCGGCUGGCCCCUUCUCGGCCACGCAUUACGUGGACCAAGGCAGCUACGCCGUCGCCACCGCGCCGGGCGCCAAGAGGAAGCGCGCGGGGAGCUCCGGCGUCGACCAGGCCGGGGACGGCGACGGCGAGGCCGCGUCCCACUCCCACGGCCGGGGCGCCCUCGACCGCGCGUACCGGCACAAGCGCCGGGCCCUGGCGUGCAAGCGGCACACCGGCUUCUUCCCUCCGCCGGCGGGGCCAGACCGCUCCGUGGCGGUGGCGAUGGCCAUGGCCAGGGUGCGCCGCCGCAUCGGGACGCCGAGCCUCGGGCGGCCCUUCUCCCGGAUUUCCUUGGAGUGA